CGAUCUACACGCCGUGUGUGUAUCAUAGCAACCAGUGUCAUCGUCGCUCUUUUGAUAAUCUCUGGUACAACUUUUGGCGCUAUAGCCUAUAACUAUCAUCUUUUUAACAAAGAGAAAUACGAAACUAAAGCCAUAAUAAAUGGCGAGGCUUUACCAGAACAUAUUCAAGUGGAUUAUAAAAAUGAGUUUAUAUACGUCAGACAUGAACAGCAUGGUAAUACUGACGCUUUGGACGCUCUCCAUAACUAUGGCAGGAAACUAAUGGCUUUACACGACUUAACUAAGAACAUGUGUUUCAUUGAUCGAAUAAAUGAGACGUUUAAUGGAGGUCUACAUUUCUGGUCAAGUCAUGAAGGCACAGAAAGGGUUCCCAAAAAAAUAUUAUUUGACUACACGGUGGAACCUAUAAAUGCAAAAGUUCUCCGAAAAUUUGCUGGUGACGAGAUUGCUAACCAUUGUGGAAACGCAACAUCACACUGGAUCAUAAACGAACGGCCAUUUAUUAUUCAAAACAGACAAAAACGAAGUGCAGCACAAUUCAGUAUGCACUGUGAAAAUGAAAUGACCAGCGAACAAAGCAAAACCAACAAUAAUUAACACAAGGCGCAGGACGACCAUAGAAGAAAAUAUAGAGAUAGGACCUUUUGCUAGUUUGCUUAUAUUACACAGUGAUUGGCAGUUCCUGCAGUGACGCCACAUGUCGUAUGUUAAUUAAAGAUGGAAUCGAUUUCACGAUUUUUAUACCAGAUAAUUAAUAAAUCGACUGGAUUAUUCCUUUAAACGCUAAUUUCAGAUUUUGAGUAUAUAGUAAUUAUGUUAGCCAUUGCAUAUCCUUUAACUUAGUAUAUCGAUGUCUUUAAAUA
This is a long non-coding RNA of Patella vulgata (common limpet), 863 nucleotides long. RefSeq lists it as uncharacterized. The transcript is spliced from 5 exons. NCBI's taxonomy places the organism in Eukaryota, Metazoa, Mollusca, Gastropoda, Patellidae. The record is from RefSeq and is a predicted model, not a curated record.